AAAGAAUAAAAAAGUUGCAGCGCCGCAAACGACAACCCUCCAUAAAAGGUCCAUCGUCUUCUUCGUUCGAGAUAACACCAGUAGAGUCACGCCUAAGAAUUGAAAAGGCGCCGCAAAUCAAUUAAAAAAACACGACCUCCUCACCCAAGUUCAUCUUCUUUGACAUUUCCAUCUAAAAACGAGCUCGAAACUAAGCUCAAAACUGAGCCCCAAAUAGAUUUGUUAUUGCUGGAAAUCCAGUCCCCCAAGACAUCAUUCAAAGUUGACAAGUCUGCUAAGCUUCGGUCUUAGUUCUCGUUCAUCAUACUACUACAGUUUUUACGGAAGAAGCUUUUGCUCCAAUAAAAGUCCAAUUUUUAAACAUUUUUGUCCAUUUUAUUCCCUUUUGACAUUCAUAUGUGAUUAAUCUGGUAUAUGAUUUUGGUGUUAUGUAUAAUGUUUGAGUAUAUUAUCCAUUUCUCACUUGUUUAAUUAGUUAAUGCAAGAUUUUAUUUUAAUUUUUUAGUAUAUAUUUUCUAUUUGAAUAGAACUUGUUCGAUUU
This 541-nucleotide long non-coding RNA is filed under the name Nicotiana benthamiana. Its description in RNAcentral is "long non-coding RNA (NBEN_LNC012482)". Lineage: Eukaryota; Viridiplantae; Streptophyta; Magnoliopsida; Solanales; Solanaceae. The record is from RNAcentral.